This 560-nucleotide ribosomal RNA is filed under the name Cladonia rotundata. RNAcentral's name for it is "SSU rRNA". It matches the Rfam family "Eukaryotic small subunit ribosomal RNA", at positions 1209 to 1789 of the family's 1831-position model. Lineage: Eukaryota; Fungi; Ascomycota; Lecanoromycetes; Lecanorales; Cladoniaceae. The record is from RNAcentral.
GGAAACUCACCAGGUCCAGACACAAUAAGGAUUGACAGAUUGAGAGCUCUUUCUUGAUUUUGUGGGUGGUGGUGCAUGGCCGUUCUUAGUUGGUGGAGUGAUUUGUCUGCUUAAUUGCGAUAACGAACGAGACCUUAACCUGCUAAAUAGCCAGGUCAGCUUUGGCUGGCCGCCGGCUUCUUAGAGGGACUAUCGGCUCAAGCCGAUGGAAGUUUGAGGCAAUAACAGGUCUGUGAUGCCCUUAGAUGCUCUGGGCCGCACGCGCGCUACACUGACAGAGACAACGAGUUCAUCUCCUUGACCGGAAGGUUUGGGUAAUCUUGUUAAACUCUGUCGUGCUGGGGAUAGAGCAUUGCAAUUAUUGCUCUUCAACGAGGAAUGCCUAGUAAGCGCGAGUCAUCAGCUCGCGUUGAUUACGUCCCUGCCCUUUGUACACACCGCCCGUCGCUACUACCGAUUGAAUGGCUCAGUGAGGCCUUCGGACUGGCCCAGAGAGGUCGGCAACGACCACUCCGGGCCGGAAAGUUGGUCAAACUUGGUCAUUUAGAGGAAGUAAAAGU